RNAcentral lists this ribosomal RNA (1059 nucleotides) under Leuconostoc holzapfelii. RNAcentral describes it as "bacterial SSU rRNA". It matches the Rfam family "Bacterial small subunit ribosomal RNA", at positions 325 to 1373 of the family's 1533-position model. The record is from RNAcentral. Lineage: Bacteria; Bacillati; Bacillota; Bacilli; Lactobacillales; Lactobacillaceae.
AACGGCCCAAAAUUCGUACGGGAAGGUUGCAGUAGGGAAUCUUGCACAAUGGGCGCAAGCCUGAUGGAGCAACGUCCGCGUGAGAGAUGAAGGCUUUCGGAUCGUAAAAGCACUGUUGUAUGGGAAGAAAUGCUAAAAUAGGGAAUGAUUUUAGUUUGACGGUACCAUACCAGAAAGGGACGGCUAAAUACGUGCCAGCAGCCGCGGUAAUACGUAUGUCCCGAGCGUUAUCCGGAUUUAUUGGGCGUAAAGCGAGCGCAGACGGUUGAUUAAGUCUGAUGUGAAAGCCCGGAGCUCAACUCCGGAAUGGCAUUGGAAACUGGUUAACUUGAGUGUUGUAGAGGUAAGUGGAACUCCAUGUGUAGCGGUGGAAUGCGUAGAUAUAUGGAAGAACACCAGUGGCGAAGGCGGCUUACUGGACAACAACUGACGUUGAGGCUCGAAAGUGUGGGUAGCAAACAGGAUUAGAUACCCUGGUAGUCCACACCGUAAACGAUGAAUACUAGGUGUUAGGAGGUUUCCGCCUCUUAGUGCCGAAGCUAACGCAUUAAGUAUUCCGCCUGGGGAGUACGACCGCAAGGUUGAAACUCAAAGGAAUUGACGGGGACCCGCACAAGCGGUGGAGCAUGUGGUUUAAUUCGAAGCAACGCGAAGAACCUUACCAGGUCUUGACAUCCUUUGAAGCUUUUAGAGAUAGAAGUGUUCUCUUCGGAGACAAAGUGACAGGUGGUGCAUGGUCGUCGUCAGCUCGUGUCGUGAGAUGUUGGGUUAAGUCCCGCAACGAGCGCAACCCUUAUUGUUAGUUGCCAGCAUUCAGUUGGGCACUCUAGCGAGACUGCCGGUGACAAACCGGAGGAAGGCGGGGACGACGUCAGAUCAUCAUGCCCCUUAUGACCUGGGCUACACACGUGCUACAAUGGCGUAUACAACGAGUUGCCAACCUGCGAAGGUGAGCUAAUCUCUUAAAGUACGUCUCAGUUCGGACUGCAGUCUGCAACUCGACUGCACGAAGUCCGGAAUCGCUAGUAAUCGCGGAUCAGCACGCCGGGUUAUUCGCCG